RNAcentral lists this ribosomal RNA (158 nucleotides) under Chlorella sp. CB4. RNAcentral describes it as "5.8S ribosomal RNA". The stretch from base 1 to 116 matches the Rfam family "5.8S ribosomal RNA", at positions 39 to 154 of the family's 154-position model. From Rfam's summary of the family: 5.8S ribosomal RNA (5.8S rRNA) is a component of the large subunit of the eukaryotic ribosome. It is transcribed by RNA polymerase I as part of the 45S precursor that also contains 18S and 28S rRNA. The record is from RNAcentral. Lineage: Eukaryota; Viridiplantae; Chlorophyta; Trebouxiophyceae; Chlorellales; Chlorellaceae.
AAGAACGCAGCGAAAUGCGAUACGUAGUGUGAAUUGCAGAAUUCCGUGAACCAUCGAAUCUUUGAACGCAAAUUGCGCCCGAGGCUUCGGCCGAGGGCAUGUCUGCCUCAGCGUCGGUUUACACCCUCGCCCUCCCCCACCCUGCGUGGUGGGGUGCU